UAUUGCACUUGUCCCGGCC
This 19-nucleotide non-coding RNA is filed under the name Mus musculus (house mouse). Lineage: Eukaryota; Metazoa; Chordata; Mammalia; Rodentia; Muridae. The record is from RNAcentral.